UGUAAUCUGGUGUUUGUUAGCAUUUUAUGUUUUGGUCGUAAAGGGAAGUAGUUUUUGAUUACAG
This 64-nucleotide transfer RNA is filed under the name Ogmocotyle sikae. RNAcentral's name for it is "tRNA-Gln". Lineage: Eukaryota; Metazoa; Platyhelminthes; Trematoda; Plagiorchiida; Notocotylidae. The record is from RNAcentral.